UACAGAGGGUGCGAGCGUUAAUCGGAGUUACUGGGCGUAAAGCGCGGGCAGGCGGCCCGUUCAGUCUGAGGUGAAAGCGCCCGGCUCAACCGGGCGAGGCCCUUGGAAACUGACGGGCUGGAGGGCAGUAGAGGCAGGCGGAAUUCCGGGUGGAGUGGUGAAAUGCGUAGAGAUCCGGAGGAACACCAGAGGCGAAGGCGGCCUGCUGGGCUGCACCUGACGCUGAGCCGCGAAAGCUAGGGGAGCGAACAGG
This 253-nucleotide ribosomal RNA is filed under the name uncultured bacterium. RNAcentral describes it as "partial 16S ribosomal RNA". It matches the Rfam family "Bacterial small subunit ribosomal RNA", at positions 524 to 776 of the family's 1533-position model. The record is from RNAcentral.